This is a long non-coding RNA of Peromyscus californicus insignis, 2535 nucleotides long. RefSeq lists it as uncharacterized. The transcript is spliced from 3 exons. Lineage: Eukaryota; Metazoa; Chordata; Mammalia; Rodentia; Cricetidae. The record is from RefSeq and is a predicted model, not a curated record.
CUCAAUAAACUUAUCUGGGUCAGAGAACAGAAUAGUCACUAGAUAUAGAAGUCAGAAAAUAGUGGCACACUCACCUUCAAUCCUAGCAUUCCAGAGGCAGAAAUCCGUUUGGAUCUCUGAGUUUAAAGCCACGCUGGAAACAUCUAGGCAUGGUGACACAUGCCUUUAAUCCUAGGAAGUGAUGGUAGGAAGCAGAAAGGUAUAUAAGGCGUGAGGACCAGGAACUAGAGCCUGGGUAAGCUUUUAGGUGUUUGAACAGCAGUUCAGCUGAGAUCCAUUUGGACGAGGACUUAGAGACUUCCAGUUUGAGAAAAACGAGAUCACCUGAGGAACUGGUGAGUCGAGGUUAGCUGUGGCUGGUUCUGUUUCUCUGAUCUUUCAGCGUUCACCCCAAUAACUGGCUCCGGGUUUGUUCUUAUUAAUAAGACAUUUUAAGAUUUGUGCUACAUGGUAGAACUGGGUUUGCCAGCCUCAUCUGAGUCACCCAGUGUUUAUGAUCUUCCUGUUUCUUUUCGACGACAGCCUGCCAUUGCAAGGAGAAGAGCUGCUCCCUUCUUUUGGAAAGAGACUGGAGUUUACAUCGAUGCAAGCCAUGACUUCAUUAACUGUGACUAAGUGAAGAGGACCUUUCCAUGCCUGCAUGCAGGACAAGGGAUGCUCCUCUUGAUUCUUUGGAGGUUCUUCACUUCCCAUUCCUGUUACCCCUCUUGCAAUCAGAGCCAUUGGUAUCUUCUGGUCACCUGUUCCACAGCCCUUGGAAACUGACAACAGCCUCAGAUGUCUAGAUCUCACGAGCUUCUGUUCAGUUGACAAAUCGGAAAGUGGCUGAAGGUACCUCAGUGUGUUGGGCAUCUGGAUGCACGGAAAGAUAAACCCUUUGCAAAAAGGGGUUGAAGAGGAGAGCUUGGUCAGAGGAGAGACUUCUGAGAAGUGGCUUUAUAAUGUUCCAAGAAUACAAAGGAACCCAGAAAUGGCUUCUUUGAAAUGGAGGACCAGGAUUUUAAUUGCCUAGAUAUGAUUUCCAGCUAUCAGAUUUUGAAAAUGUGGUCAGAAUUUGUAAGAGAUUUAUGGAAAUCUCCUUAUUCUGGAGCUUUAAACAAGACAUUAAUUUCUCUUGUUAGCAGAAGAGCUGAACUUCCUGUAAGUGAUAGGAUGAAGUAAUAACUGUGAUGCUGGGUUCCAGGAACAUGGCACAUUUUCUUGCCAUUAACUGAGUCAGGUGAUGGACACAUUGCCAACGACCUUUAGAAUAUUCUCAAGUGUCCUGUCUCCUUAUUGGGCUUUCUUCCUUACCUCCUUCUAAGUACUCAUUUCCCCCUUACUCUCAAUUGUCCAUCCUUAGGGCUAAUUUCCAUUUUCCAUCAUUUCCCAUGUGACUGUGAAUAUUGAGGCCAUGAUAAACAUGAAACUUAGCAGAUCCAGGGACCUCUUCUGGCCACCUACAGAUAUUCUGAGCAGACCUCUAAACCAGGAAGGCAGGAAGAAGAUCCUAGUGUCUCAAACUCAGUGAAAAUAAAAAGAAUAAUUGGGCUGGGCAUGUAGGUCCAUCAGUCAGCAGAGUGCUUCCCUAGCAUGCCCAAGGCUCUGGGUUCCAUCCAUAGCACCAGAUGUCAGCAAUCCCUGUACUCAGGAGUUGGAGCCAGGAGGAUGCAGCAGUUUAAGGUCAUCCUGAGCUACAUACCAAGUUCAAGCCUAGCCUGAGAUUUGUGAGAGCCUGUCACAAAACAAAACAAAGCAAAACAACUGCCCCCCACCACACAACCUCCAUGGUUUGAACCCCAGCACCCUGCCACCAGUAAAACAGAUUCUUCUACAAGAAGGAUGCAGAAGGAAGAUACCACUUGAAGUGUUUUGUCCACUCUGCUAGCUCUGUUAAGCAAGCAGCCCAAGUUAGCUCAGUCUUCAGUGAAAUGCUGUAGUUACAGCAAGUCUAUAGGUCUGCAUUUGAAGAAGGUUGUUCCCAACAUUAUAGCAACAGGAAAUAAAAACAAAUUUGCACCCACUAUGUGAAAGUAGUUUUCAUAAACAGCAUUAAGUGUUUAUAACUUCACAAACGCACACUGUACAUGUAAAGAAGGAGAAAAGAAUAAUUUAGGGGAACUGAAUGGGAGGAAUAUGUUGCUUUUAGUACAAAACAAUCAUUCUAGUUUCGUUUGAAGUUAGAAGAAAAAGAGAUAAGUGAGUUUAUAGGCUUCAGUGAACUUAUAAAAAUCUUUACAUCAAGAGUUAUUAGUUUUUAAAAGGUCCCUUUUAAGGUUAUGAGAAAAGACUAAGGGAAACAUUAAGAAAUUGAAUUGUUGUGCACGGUAUGGAACUCCACAUUUCCAUUUUUGACAGAACAAGUGACUCUCUGCCACGAAGAUGAAAGAAAUUAGUGUUUGAGCAGCUCUCCAGAUAGACUCCCUCGUUCCUACCUCUGACUACUAUUUCUACCACAUCUGCGUUUAUGACAUUUCCGUUUUAUUCUGUAACCACAAUCUACUCAGUUCAAAUCCUGCUUGUAAGAGCUGUAAAAUCCUGAGGACUGUAACACCA